GCUGGGCGUGGUGGCUCACGCCUGUAAUCCCAGCACUUUGGGAGGCCAAGGUGGGUGAAUCACCUGAGGUCAGGAGUUCAAGACCAGCCUGACCAACAUGGUGAAACCCCGUCUUUA
RNAcentral lists this small RNA (117 nucleotides) under Pongo abelii (Sumatran orangutan). RNAcentral's name for it is "Metazoan signal recognition particle RNA (ENSPPYG00000037384.1)". Lineage: Eukaryota; Metazoa; Chordata; Mammalia; Primates; Hominidae. The record is from Rfam by way of RNAcentral.